GGACAUGGGCCUUAGUGGACAUG
RNAcentral lists this non-coding RNA (23 nucleotides) under Arabidopsis thaliana (thale cress). The record is from RNAcentral. Lineage: Eukaryota; Viridiplantae; Streptophyta; Magnoliopsida; Brassicales; Brassicaceae.